This 417-nucleotide ribosomal RNA is filed under the name uncultured bacterium. RNAcentral describes it as "bacterial SSU rRNA". It matches the Rfam family "Bacterial small subunit ribosomal RNA", at positions 355 to 764 of the family's 1533-position model. The record is from RNAcentral.
UAGGGAAUAUUGGACAAUGGGGGCAACCCUGAUCCAGCCAUGCCGCGUGAGUGAAGAAGGCCCUCGGGUUGUAAAGCUCUUUUGUCCGGAAAGAAAAGCAUUCGGUGAAUACCCGGAUGUUCUGACGGUACCGGAAGAAUAAGCACCGGCUAACUUCGUGCCAGCAGCCGCGGUAAUACGAAGGGUGCAAGCGUUACUCGGAAUUACUGGGCGUAAAGCGUGCGUAGGUGGUUGUUUAAGUCUGAUGUGAAAGCCCUGGGCUCAACCUGGGAAUGGCAUUGGAAACUGGGCAGCUAGAGUGCGGUAGAGGGUAGUGGAAUUCCCGGUGUAGCAGUGAAAUGCGUAGAGAUCGGGAGGAACAUCUGUGGCGAAGGCGACUGCCUGGACCAGCACUGACACUGAGGCACGAAAGCGUGG